Molecule: long non-coding RNA, 347 nt
Filed under: Trifolium pratense (red clover)
Lineage: Eukaryota; Viridiplantae; Streptophyta; Magnoliopsida; Fabales; Fabaceae
Description: long non-coding RNA (TPRA_LNC012819)
Source: RNAcentral
ACCUUGGUUAUUAACCACCUUAUUAGCAUGCUGAAUCUGAAGACUGCUAUGUUCACCAAUAAAAGGUUUUGUAUUUAUCAAGCAGAAGAUUGAAUUAUAUUGAAUAAUCAAGAAUUAUAAAAAUGGGUAAGGUUCCACCUUUUUAAGUUACUAAAUCCAAGACUUACAUUGAUAAUUAUCAACACAAAUAUAGUGCUAUCUGAUUCUUAUACCAACACCAACCAAAUUUUGUCAGAUUUCACAAUAGAUCUCCAGUAAAAAAGACUAACAGAUACAACCUCAUGGCCAUAAUGCCAUAUAUACCAGAUAGAUAUUAUAAGAAACAGUUUAGACUCCAAAGAGUUGGU